GGAGACCUUCGGUUUGCAAUUGCGUUAUUUGCUAGCAAAACAUAUUUUUCAAAUAUGGUAUUUGCAAUAAAAAUUGAAUUUAAAAUUCACAAGCAUGAGUUAUGCCUCAUAGUUUGGAAAAAAAAGUUUUAGAUUCACUCUUGUAAAAUUUUUAAGGCGAAUUAAAAAACUGACGGCAUGGCAUCACCUUAUGUCAUGAAUGAAAUUUUUAAGGCGAAUUAAAAACUGACGGCAUGGCAUCACCUUAUGUCAUGAAUGACAUUUUUAAUUAUUGGUUAAGUGCGCACACGUGCGCAGAUUAACCCCGGCAGCAGAAAAAGACUUCCUGGCAAGAUCGCAUGAAGAAAUCAAGAAGGAAGUAUCUGGAGGCCCCGGCGAGAAAAACUUGAUGUGUUGUCCCCUGUUUGCUGGCAGCAGAAAAGACUCGUGCGCAUGCUCUUCUUGCUUUCACCCUUGGUGUGAAACAACUGAUCGUUGGUGUCAACAAGAUGGAUUCGUCUAAACCACCAUACAGUGAGACUUGUUAUGGGGAAGUCAAGAAGGAAGUAUCCUCAUCCACCAAGAAGCUCGGUUACAAUCCAGCUGCUGUUGCAGUCGAACAAAUACGAAUUAUAAUUGGUUCCCUUAUUGAAUUUUAUUCGUACCAAUCGCUGGCUUGGCAUGGUGAUAACAUGCUGGAAGCAUCCACCAACACGCCAUGGCUCAAGGGAUGGAAGGCUGAACGUAAGGAAGACAAUGCUGAAGGUAAGACACUUGCAGUGUUAAGUCUUCGUAAUGUAUCUGUGUAAUGUUGCUAAGAUGUAAUGUAACUCGUCGUACGUAAUACUUAAUGUUAAUAGCUAAUGAUCAAGCUGCAUUUUUUCGUAUUAUUAAAAUUAGAAGAGUCUUAUUAUGCUUAUUAUAAUGAUAUAAAAGAUAAUUAUUUGAAUGGUGCCGACGCAUUUAUUGUAAUGUUGGCACUUUUAUACCCAAACAUACGUAUUUACGCUCUUCCAGUUGCUGAACCCAAGUGCAAGUAUUGCUAUUAAAAGGUGAAACAAUAUAGCAUGAGAAAGUACAUAACUAAAUAUUUAACAUUUUGACCGAUUACAAUUAAAUUGAAUAAAAAUUACGAAAAAAAACUAUUAAUUAAUAGAAAUGUGCGGAUAUACUGAAAAUAAAUUGUGUGAAGAAUGUGAUUUAAGAUUUUAAGAGAAUUAAA
Molecule: long non-coding RNA, 1201 nt
Organism: Bactrocera dorsalis (oriental fruit fly)
Lineage: Eukaryota; Metazoa; Arthropoda; Insecta; Diptera; Tephritidae
Exons: 3
Source: RefSeq, a predicted model, not a curated record